CUGAAUAAGGCCCUUCAGCUCACUUCGACGUCAUUCCUUGGCACCGAGAUGCCACCGAAUGGCCCCAAAGCGCAAGGAAUUGGAGCGGGCUGACAACAUUGACAACUUCUGGAUCGAAAUGGAAGCCCCCCAUGCCCGGCUGAGUCAUCUGACGCAGUCAGCCACGCGCGCGGGGUCGCGUGAGAACCGGGCUGACCGCGCCACGGUCUCAGGAAAUGUACGAGUGUGCGGCUGACAUGGAAAUGCCAGGGCAGCACUUUGAAACCGAUUCACUCUGGGAACCCGAUUAAAAAACGAUGCCUUUGCAGAUAGAUUCAAACUCGUUUGCACGUAGACGAGAUCCGAGUGAAUGAAAACCGGGCUCCGAUGAGACAACGAGGCACACCGAGAUAAGACGGGAGGGAGCGGACGGCGAGCCAGGGCUCCCGCUGGAGACAAAUCCAGAGCAACCGGACGGGACAUAGGAAAAC
Hippocampus comes (tiger tail seahorse) is the source of this 470-nucleotide long non-coding RNA. RefSeq lists it as uncharacterized. NCBI's taxonomy places the organism in Eukaryota, Metazoa, Chordata, Actinopteri, Syngnathiformes, Syngnathidae. The record is from RefSeq and is a predicted model, not a curated record. The transcript has 2 exons.